RNAcentral lists this long non-coding RNA (1201 nucleotides) under Anas platyrhynchos platyrhynchos (common mallard). Its description in RNAcentral is "lncRNA (ENSAPLG00000028028.1)". The record is from RNAcentral. Lineage: Eukaryota; Metazoa; Chordata; Aves; Anseriformes; Anatidae.
UAAGUAGGGAAAAAAAUCUUUCUGCAUCCUUGUGUAUACUAAAUCUGUCACUUCUGAAAUGAAUUCUCUUCCAGAAUAUGGGUAAUGACUUGUCACCUCUUCAGUUUGAUCCUCUGCCCUUUCAUCAAGGCUUGCAAUGGGAAUGCAGCACUCUCAGCAGUACAACCACUCAGGGAAAUCCCUAAAGAAUGGAGAAGACAUGCGACAACUCAAAGAAAAUUAUUCUGACAAACCUGUGCUUCAGACUCAUUCAUUUCUGCUUCCCCUGCCUCCUUGCCAAAAAUGUGCUCCCUCUUUGCCUGUGUCUCUCACACAUUGCUGAGCAGUCUCUCACUGUGCUCAGCUUCAUUUAGGGUGCUGCUCCCAAGGUGAAACUUGCUCUUGGAGGUGUUCAGUGCAGUUCAGAUUUAUCUGCAUGUCUUGCCUGGGGACCCAACACGUAAGAGGAGGACAGUUGGUGAAGGUGAAACACAGAGGGUUUUCCUCUGCUGAACUGUGACUUUGGAACCAGCGAGAAGAUAGUAAUCUCAGCACUCAAAAAAAAAAAAAAAAAAAAAAGUGAAAUGUCCCUCCCUCUGACUUUUAAUACAGUAACACAGAAUAAUCUAAAAUGUCAAUAUACACUCCUUCCCUUCAAGGCUACAGAAGAUCAUGACCAGCUGGAUUACAGGGACCAGCUUGGUUUAGGAUAAUGCUUAAAGCACACAUUGAUAAGAAGGAUAAAUAGGAAACUAUUUCCAUCAGAGCACCAACACAAGAUGUUUACAUAGAACGUAGAAUGCAGACUAGAAUAAUGCACCAUCUCCCUUUUUACCUAAAAUAAUGCCCCUGCCACCACCAAGAUUAAGUCCUGGAUUGUAUCCUUGGAAUUACAGAAAUAGCUGUGAUGAGCAAAAGGCAUUUUAGUUUGCCUGUCACAGCAGAAGAUGACAAUACAUCUGCAGUAUGCUGACACUCCUCCUUAUCUGCCUGCACUGCUCUACUUGGAGAAAAUCACUAGAAGCUGCGAUAAGCAGGUAUCCGAACCAAGAACUGACAGAUGGUUGCCUUUUACAAGGUAUAUGAAGAAAUGCACAAAGGGGCAUCCAGCCUCAGUCUUCGAAAAAUACUGUAUUGUGAGCUGCAACACUACUAAUAACUAAACUUAUUGUGUGCCAAUCAAGCAAAUAAAAAUACAUAUAUGAAAUACUUGUUUACUUGU